GCGAAAACUUUACAAUGCUGGCAACAGCGAUAAGGGGACCUCGAGUGCCAGGUUACAAAUCUGGCUGUCGAGAUGCCUCAAAAGCAUUUCAUAGCAAGGGCCGGGCAAGAACGGUGCCAGCCGACGCGGUAACACAGGCGGCUCGAGUGGUAACCGUUAUUAUUGGGUCUAAAGGGUCUGUAGCCGGCCGGAUAAGUCUCUUGAGAAAUCUGGCAGCUUAACUGUCAGGCUUUCAGGAGAUACUGUCUGGCUCGAGGCCGGGAGAGGUGAGAGGUACUUCAGGGGUAGGGGUGAAAUCUUGUAAUCCUUGAAGGACCGCCAGUGGCGAAGGCGUCUCACCUGAACGGACCUGACGGCAAGGGGCGAAAGCUAGUGGCACGAACC
RNAcentral lists this ribosomal RNA (384 nucleotides) under uncultured prokaryote. Its description in RNAcentral is "bacterial SSU rRNA". It matches the Rfam family "Archaeal small subunit ribosomal RNA", at positions 341 to 725 of the family's 1478-position model. The record is from RNAcentral.